This 221-nucleotide long non-coding RNA is filed under the name Carica papaya (papaya). RNAcentral describes it as "long non-coding RNA (CPAP_LNC016426)". The record is from RNAcentral. Lineage: Eukaryota; Viridiplantae; Streptophyta; Magnoliopsida; Brassicales; Caricaceae.
UGAUUUUUAUAUACGUGCAUCAUUCAUUAUGGAAAGAAGUUGUUUCGAAAAUACCUGCAUUAUGUUAGGCUUCAAUGUGGCCAUACAUAACCGUUUCAUAUUCGAGUGUAUUGGUGAAGUGAUAAAUAUGUGUCCAUACAUAACUGUUCCGUGUUCAGGUGUACAAAAAAAUAGUUUGAUAUGUGUGCCCUAACAUUUCGUGUUCGGGGGGAGUAGUGUUU